Molecule: long non-coding RNA, 3804 nt
Filed under: Salmo salar (Atlantic salmon)
Lineage: Eukaryota; Metazoa; Chordata; Actinopteri; Salmoniformes; Salmonidae
Description: lncRNA (ENSSSAG00000118956.1)
Source: RNAcentral
CUUAUCCAGAGCGACUUACAGUAGUGAAUGCAUACAUUUCAUGCAUUUUAUUUUAUUAUUAUUUUUAUUUUUUUGUACUGGCCCCCCGUGGGAAUCGAAACCACAACCCUGGCGUUGCACACACCAUGCUGGCAUUGCAAACACCAUGCUCUACCAACUGAGCCACAGGGAAGCCAGCUCACAUACUCCCAAAGGCCUCGUCUUCAACCCACCACAACCAACCAAGACUACCUCUGUAGGACUCAAUUAUGGACUUUUCCACACUCCUGCAUGCAACAGUUCAGUGACGACACGACAGUCAGGGAGUUAGCCAGAGCCUCCCUCUUACUUGACCUACGGAGGAGGAAGGUCCCACUGGCCACGGAUAUUGAGGACAACUUCCUGCGCUUCUGGAGGAAGGCCAAGGGAAAAUUGGACACUCGUGCUGUGUGCUUUGGAGUCUGGUCAGACUGGCUGGACCUCAACGACCUGUGCAACCGGACUGGAUUAGAGCUCAGAUGGACACGGACUCACUGUUAAGAUGAGGCUGCAAGUUCAAACAGCAAAAUAUAAUCUAGCACUCUGGUACCCUGGAAAUAAUGACCCAUUUUGUGUUCUACAUGAGUCAAAUGUAAUGGAGUCUGUUGCCCAUAUUGUGAAUGGUUGCUGUUCAUAAAAGGAUUUGUACAUUGUUAGACAUGACCGCAUUGUUGACCUGAUAGCCAGCGAGGUGACACAGGUACUCUCACUAACAGCACACACCAAUAAACAUUCUUGUGGAAGCUGGUUUGAUGUUGAUGACGAUGUGCUUUUCUGUGUGCCAAAUACACCAGAUGUUGUUGUGAGGGGAGGCCAGGGGGAGGUGCUCAUUUUGUAAAUGGGCUGCUCAUUUGAUGGCUACAUGGAGCAGGUAUUUGCCGACAAGCUUCUUAAAUACCAGCCCCUCAUGGCAUGCUUUGACAGCCUCGGGUGUAGGUGCAAGCUGGUGGCGCUGAUAUUUGGCAUGAACACCGGUAGGUAGCCUAGUGGUUAGAAUGUUGGGCCAGUAACCAAAAGGUUGCUGGAUUGAAUCCCCGAUCUGACAAGGUAAAAAUCAGUCGUUCUGCCCCUGAACAAGGCAGUUAACCUACUGAUCCCCGAUAGGCCGUAAUUGUAAAUAAGAAUUUGUUCUUAACUGACUUGCCUAGUUAAAUAAAGGUUCAAAAAUGUUUUAAGUGCGUGUCCUCUACAUUGAGGCCUGCCAAAAACUAGGGCAAAGCAGUUGGCUAGGUACUGCUCUGUUUCAGCUGUUGUGGGCAGACUAGCUGUUUGAAGAAGGGGGUGCUUUCUGUACCCUACAGUGCCAUGCAUACAGGGACCUUUUUUAAUGUCAAUUUGAUUGGUGGUUUCAAAUUCAAAUGGUGUGCAAUGUCCCUCUUCCAAGCCCUGUUGUGCACCUAUGAUUCACUGAUGCAAUCCGGACAGAUCAUCCAACUGUUUCAUGAAUGACAAACUGAUUGCGCCGUAUCAAACUUUACUUCACAUAUCACAGACUGACUUGGCAUCUCAUGGAGGAAACCACAUGGAGGAAAAUUGACAAUGUAGAGGCUCAAUGGCUCCCUCUACUGAAACCACAUCCUGAGAUCUCAUCUCAGCUGAUUUGUUUCUUGUACAUUUAUUUUUGUGAUUAUUCUUGACAUUUAAAUGAAUCCUGCAUGGAGAGCAAUUCACAAGAAAUAUAGGUUGCAAAGGAUUACAUUGUUUCAUCUCUGUGUUUGGUACCAUUCUAAAAAUCACUUGCAUCAGAUGAGCUUCCUGGAAACAUGGAGCAGACCAAUUACAUCCAGAAUUAUUCAGCAGACUACCAGACUGGUUGGUCCGUGAACCCAGAACUGGAACAAAAAUCAAUCGCUUCACUCCACAGUGUCACACAGACAAAUAGGUUGCUGGCCGCUCUAUAAUUAGGCCUACAAGAGAGGCUACACUCUCAAUGGGGACUCACUAAAAAUAAAAUAAAAUUGUAUUAGUCCCGUACACAUAUUUAGAAGAUGUUAUCAUAGAUGUAGAGAAAUGCUUAUGUUCCUAGAUAAAACAGUGCCGUAAUAUCGAACAAUACAAAACAAUAUAAAUAUAUAUGUAUAUGAUGUCGUGUAUAGACAUUAUGGCCAGUUUAUGAAUAGAAAAGGUGCGUACAGCAGUAGUUAUAUAGGAUGACUAGAAUACAGCAUAUACAUAUGAAGUGGGUAAAACAGUAUGUAAACAUUAUUAAAGUGACAAGUGUUCAAUGACUAUGUACAGUGCCUUCAGAAAGUAUUCACACCCAUGACCUUUUCCACAUUUUGUUGUGUUACAGCCUGUAUUUAUAGUACAUUCAUUAGAGAUGUUGUGUCACUGGCCUAUAAUGUCAAAUGUCUAAUCAUCCCCAGCUUACAAUUGGCUCAUUCAUCCCCCUCCUCUCCCUUUAAACUAUUCCCCAGGUUGUUGCUGUAAAUGAGAAUGUGUUCUCAGUCAACUUACCUGGUAAAAUAAAUAAAAAACUCUGUGUGAAAUAAUAGUUUAACAUGAUUACCUCAUCUCUGCACCUCACACAUACAAUUAUCUGUAAGGUCUCUCAGUCGAGCAGUGAAUUUAAAACACAGAUUCAACCACAAGACCGGAGAGGUUUUCCAAUGCCUUUCAAAGAAGAGCACCUAUUGGUAGAUAAAAAUAUAUAUAAUUUGAAAGCAGACAUUGAAUAUCCCUUUGAGCAUGGUGAAGUUAUUCAUUACAAUUUGGAUGGUGUAUUAAUACACCCAGUUACUACAAAGAUACAGGUGUCCUUCCUAACUCAGUUGCCAGAGAGGAAGGAAGCCACUCAAGGAUUUCACCAUGAGGCCAAUGGUGACUUUAAAACAGUUACAGAGUUUAAUGGCUGUGAUGAGAGAAAACUGAGGAUGGAUCAACAACAUUAGUAGGUACUCCACAAUACUAACCCAAAUGACAGAGUGAAAAGAAGGAAACCUGUACAGAAUAAAACAUAUUCCAAAACAUGCAUCCUGUUUGCAAUAAGGCACUGAAGUAAAAUUGCAAACAAUUUGGCAAAGAAAUUAACUUCAUGUCCUGAAUACAAAGCUUUAUGUUUGGGGCAAAUCAAACACAACAUAUCACUGAGUACCACUCUUCAUAUUUUCAAGCAUGGUGGUGGCUGUAUCAUGUUACGGGUUGGCUUGUCAACAGCAAGGACUAGGGAGUUUUUUUAGGAUAAAAAUAAAUGGAAAAGAGCUAAGGGCAGACAAAAUCCUAGUGGAAAGCCUGGUUCAGUCUGCUUUCCACCAGACACUGGGAGACAAAUGUACCUUUCAGCAGGACAAUAACCUAAAACACAAGGCCAAAUAUACACUGGAGUUGCUUACCAAGACGACAGUGAAUGUUCCCGAGUGGCCUAGUUACAGUUUUGGCUUAAAUCAGCUUUAAAAUCUAUGGCAAGACAGAUGUCUAGCAAUGUUAAAUUGCAAUGUCAUUUUCAAUACAUUUGCAAAAUUGUAUUAAAACAUGUUUUCACUUUGUCAUUAUGGGGUAUUGUGGGUAGAUGGGGAGAAAAAAUAUAUAAUUUAAUCCAUUUUGAAUUCACGCUGUAACAUAACAAAAUGUGGAAGCAGUGUACAUACUGUAGGGCAGCAGUCUCUAAGGUGCAGGCUUGAGUACCCGGGUGGUAGCCGGCUAGUAACAGUGACUAAAGUUCAGGGCAGGGUACUGGGCGGAGGCCGGAUAGUGGUGACUAUUUAACAGUCUGAUGGCCUGAAGAUAGAAGAUGUUUUUCAGUCUCUUGGUCACAGCUUUGAUGCACCUAUCUCUGCCUUUUAGAUG